AAGAAAAAUUCCAUUAGUGUUAUGUUAGCAACUAUACUAAUGGAUACCAAUUUGGUUGGCAAAUCCAAUAGUAUAUUUUUAAAAAUACAUUGGCAAUCGGUUGGUAAUUUUGUCUAUAGAAAAGUUCUAUUUAGUAAAUUGUAGGCAAUUUACAAACAAAUUUCAAAUUCGUUAACAAAUAUGGUUAUAAUAAUUAUAUUAAUAUUCAUUUAAAGCUUUAAAAGAUCCCAAAAAAACGAAAACAAAAUA
Molecule: long non-coding RNA, 249 nt
Filed under: Nicotiana benthamiana
Lineage: Eukaryota; Viridiplantae; Streptophyta; Magnoliopsida; Solanales; Solanaceae
Description: long non-coding RNA (NBEN_LNC018485)
Source: RNAcentral